Molecule: ribosomal RNA, 497 nt
Filed under: uncultured bacterium
Lineage: Bacteria
Description: partial 16S ribosomal RNA
Rfam family: Bacterial small subunit ribosomal RNA
Source: RNAcentral
GAUGAACGCUGGCGGCGUGCCUAAUACAUGCAAGUCGAGCGAACGGACGAGAAGCUUGCUUCUCUGAUGUUAGCGGCGGACGUGUGAGUAACACGUGGAUAACCUACCUAUAAGACUGGGAUAACUUCGGGAAACCGUAGCUAAUACCGGAUAAUAUUUUGCACCGCAUUGUUCAAAAGUGAAAUACGGUCUUGCUGUCACUUAUAGAUGGAUCUGCGCUGCAUUAGCUAGUUGUUAAGGUAACGGCUUAUCAAGGGAACGAUGCAUAGCCGACCUGAGAGGGUGAUCGGCCACACUGGAACUGAGACGCGGUCCAGACUCCUACGGGAGGCAGCAGUAGGGAAUCUUCCGCAAUGGGCGAAAGCCUGACGGAGCAACGCCGCGUGAGUGAUGACGGUCUUCGGAUCGUAAAACUCUGUUAUUAGGGAAGAACAUAUGUGUAAGUAACUGUGCACAUCUUGACGGUAACUAAUCAGAAAGCCACGGCUAACUACGUG